This 1377-nucleotide ribosomal RNA is filed under the name metagenome. RNAcentral's name for it is "bacterial SSU rRNA". It matches the Rfam family "Bacterial small subunit ribosomal RNA". The record is from RNAcentral.
AGAGUUUGAUCCUGGCUCAGGAUAAACGCUGGCGGCGCACAUAAGACAUGCAAGUCGAACGAACUUAACCAUUAGUUUACUAUUGGAGCGGUUAGUGGCGGACUGGUGAGUAACACGUAAGCAACCUGCCUAUCAGAGGGGAACAACAGUUAGAAAUGACUGCUAAUACCGCAUAUGCCUUGAGUAUCACAUGGUACAAAAGGGAAAGGAGCAAUCCGCUGAUAGAUGGGCUUGCGUCUGAUUAGAUAGUUGGUGAGGUAACGGCCCACCAAGUCGACGAUCAGUAGCCGGACUGAGAGGUUGAACGGCCACAUUGGGACUGAGAUACGGCCCAGACUCCUACGGGAGGCAGCAGUCGGGAAUAUUGCGCAAUGGAGGAAACUCUGACGCAGUGACGCCGCGUGCAGGAAGAAGGUUUUCGGAUUGUAAACUGCUUUAGACAGGGAAGAAACAAGACAGUACCUAGAAUAAGCUCCGGCUAACUACGUGCCAGCAGCCGCGGUAAUACGUAGGGAGCAAGCGUUAUCCGGAUUUAUUGGGUGUAAAGGGUGCGUAGACGGGAAAUUAAGUUAGUUGUGAAAUCCCUCGGCUUAACUGAGGAACUGCAACUAAAACUGGUUUUCUUGAGUGCUGGAGAGGAAAGUGGAAUUCCUAGUGUAGCGGUGAAACGCGUAGAUAUUAGGAGGAACACCAGUGGCGAAGGCGACUCUCUGGACAGUAACUGACGUUGAGGCACGAAAGUGUGGGGAGCAAACAGGAUUAGAUACCCUGGUAGUCCACACCGUAAACGAUGGAUACUAGGUGUAGGGUGUGAUAAACAUUCUGUGCCGUCGCAAACGCAGUAAGUAUCCCACCUGGGGAGUACGGCCGCAAGGUUGAAACUCAAAGGAAUUGACGGGGGCCCGCACAAGCAGUGGAGUAUGUGGUUUAAUUCGACGCAACGCGAAGAACCUUACCAGGGCUUGACAUAUACAUGAAAGUCUAAGAGAUUAGACCCCUCUUCGGAGCGUGUAUUCAGGUGGUGCAUGGUUGUCGUCAGCUCGUGUCGUGAGAUGCUGGGUUAAGUCCCGCAACGAGCGCAACCCCUGUUCUUAGUUACCAGCGAGUUAAGUCGGGAACUCUAAGAAGACUGCCGGUGAUAAAUCGGAGGAAGGUGGGGACGACGUCAAAUCGUCAUGCCCUUUAUGUCCUGGGCUACACACGUACUACAAUGGCUGUAACAAAGGGAAGCUAAGCCGCGAGGUGGAGCAAAACCCAAAAAAGCAGUCUCAGUUCGGAUUGAAGGCUGAAAUUCGCCUUCAUGAAGCCGGAAUUGCUAGUAAUGGCAGGUCAGCAUACUGCCGUGAAUACGUUCCCGGGCCUUGUACACACCGCCCG